Molecule: non-coding RNA, 28 nt
Filed under: Homo sapiens (human)
Lineage: Eukaryota; Metazoa; Chordata; Mammalia; Primates; Hominidae
Source: RNAcentral
UGCUGUUGAGACCACUUUCCUGGAGUGC